CCUACGGGGGGCAGCAGUGAGGAAUAUUGGUCAAUGGACGAGAGUCUGAACCAGCCAAGUAGCGUGAAGGAUGACUGCCCUAUGGGUUGUAAACUUCUUUUAUAAAGGAAUAAAACGAGGCACGUGUGCCUUUUUGCAUGUACUUUAUGAAUAAGGAUCGGCUAACUCCGUGCCAGCAGCCGCGGUAAUACGGAGGAUCCGAGCGUUAUCCGGAUUUAUUGGGUUUAAAGGGAGCGUAGAUGGGUUGUUAAGUCAGUUGUGAAAGUUUGCGGCUCAACCGUAAAAUUGCAAUUGAUACUGGCAGUCGUGAGUACAGUUGAGGUAGGCGGAAUGCGUGGUGUAGCGGUGAAAUGCUUAGAUAUCACGAAGAACCCCGAUUGCGAAGGCAGCUUACUAAACUGUGACUGACAUUGAUGCUCGAAAGUGUGGGUAUCAAACAGGAUUAGAUACCCGUGUAGUC
RNAcentral lists this ribosomal RNA (460 nucleotides) under uncultured bacterium. Its description in RNAcentral is "partial 16S ribosomal RNA". It matches the Rfam family "Bacterial small subunit ribosomal RNA", at positions 338 to 795 of the family's 1533-position model. The record is from RNAcentral.